UGUACCGUAGCUCAAUGGUCGAGCGUUCGCCUGUUAAGCGAGUGGUUGCUGGUUCGAGUCCAGCCGGUACAG
RNAcentral lists this transfer RNA (72 nucleotides) under Crocinitomicaceae bacterium. Its description in RNAcentral is "tRNA-Asn". It matches the Rfam family "tRNA". Rfam says of the family: Transfer RNA (tRNA) molecules are approximately 80 nucleotides in length. Their secondary structure includes four short double-helical elements and three loops (D, anti-codon, and T loops). The record is from RNAcentral. Lineage: Bacteria; Pseudomonadati; Bacteroidota; Flavobacteriia; Flavobacteriales; Crocinitomicaceae.